GUCCAGGGAUGGGAACCGAACCCACAGUGUUCCGCUUACCGGGCAGAUGCCAUGUCCACUAGGCUACCCUGGA
Molecule: transfer RNA, 73 nt
Filed under: Cordylochernes scorpioides
Lineage: Eukaryota; Metazoa; Arthropoda; Arachnida; Pseudoscorpiones; Chernetidae
Description: tRNA-Thr
Source: RNAcentral